AGCCAUCUGUGAUGCCGGUGUUGUGGAAGGCUUCCAGAAGACUCAAUACCGGAUGUUGGGUGGUGGAGCCAACGAAGUCAGCCAUGGCUACACAAAGGGUGAUGGUCUUGGUGCUGAGAUUGUUGGUACCUUCGUCCUCGUCAACACCGUCUUCUCUGCAACCGACGCCAAGAGAAGCGCCCGUGACUCCUACGUCCCUGUAAGUAUCCUUUCCUCUUCUCCCACUCGUUAUGGGUGUGGUUGGUUCUUAAUUAUGCCUGUGGUCUGGGUUGAAUCCCAGUACAAUAUGUCUUUGGGUUCUUGAAAAGGUUUCUGAAA
Telopea speciosissima is the source of this 318-nucleotide long non-coding RNA. RefSeq lists it as uncharacterized. The record is from RefSeq and is a predicted model, not a curated record. The transcript has 2 exons. Lineage: Eukaryota; Viridiplantae; Streptophyta; Magnoliopsida; Proteales; Proteaceae.